Haliotis rubra (blacklip abalone) is the source of this 282-nucleotide long non-coding RNA. RefSeq lists it as uncharacterized. Lineage: Eukaryota; Metazoa; Mollusca; Gastropoda; Lepetellida; Haliotidae. The record is from RefSeq and is a predicted model, not a curated record. The transcript has 3 exons.
UGGAUAAUGGAAACAAACAUUAUACAAAUGAGAACACAUUUCAAUACUAGCACAAUAAAAUACAAAAUACAUUUACCUCUUAAAAUCCAUGAACAAAAUCUAUCGGCAAUCGAUAGAUAUACUUGUACAUGCCGCCAUAUUGAAUCUUAUUAAUACAAAAAGAUGAACUCAUUUUGGAAAAAGUCUGACAUUAAUGUUUGUUUCUGUGAAUUUCCCUUACAUUUAUCCACAAAUUCACCGACGCUUGCCAAGUGGGAAAAUCGGAAAGAUCAGGCAUACACC